RNAcentral lists this long non-coding RNA (10883 nucleotides) under Triticum aestivum (bread wheat). RNAcentral's name for it is "long non-coding RNA (TAES_LNC007000)". Lineage: Eukaryota; Viridiplantae; Streptophyta; Magnoliopsida; Poales; Poaceae. The record is from RNAcentral.
CAUCUUCACAAAGAACCAUUUAAAAUCAUGUACGCAUUGAAAAUAUGUGCGCUUUCCGAUGACUGUGUUUGAGCAAAAAAUACAUAGGCUUUUGUUUAAAAAUAUAUGUGUGUAUAAAAUCAUGAUUUCUUUGCCAUACACAUAGUAGAAUACAAAUAAGCCAGGGGACUACAUAUCAACUCCCUUGCUCUUAAAACAAAACAAUAAAACCUAUCAUUUCUUCUCUUCAGAGCAUUCUCCUCCUCUCCUUCUCGGGUGCCCUGUGUGGCUUCCAACGAAUCCUGCAUCACCACCGCCAAAGCCAAUGCAAGUGUUAUUUAGAUAGCAGAAAAACAAUGUGCAAUACAAUUAUAUAGACAUCUCUAGCAAAAUAUUGAUUGCACAUGUAGAUGGAGACUAAAACGAAGAAGGCAUUAAGAAUCAAGACGGAGAAGACUGGUCAUAGUAUCAGCCAGGAGUCUCAAAUGAAGUACUCCCUCUGUAAACUUUUAUAAGAGCGUUUAGAAUUUUAGGACACAGCCGACAAAUGGGGAAAUGGACAGUUUUACCCUCGAUUUGAAAUUUGAGUCGUCUUCCUCCUCCAGAGCUCGCGUCGUCUUCUUCCUACAGGAGCUCGCCCGUCUUCCUUCUCUAGCGUGCCGUCUUCCUCCUGCAGGAGCUCGCGUCAUCCCCUUCGUCCAAGCGCUCGGGCCCCGCCUGCAGGCACUCGCCCCCUUCGUCCAGGCGCUCGGUCCAGAUCCCAGGUGCCCAGUUCGGCCUCCGCUGCGCCCGCUUGGUUGCUGCCGCGCCCGCCCAACUUGGCUGCCGCUGUGCCCGCUUGGUAGCCGCCCCCGCCCAGCUUGGUCGUCGCUGCCCCAGAUUGGUCCUCGUCGCGCCCAGCCCACCUAGCUCGUCCCCGCCGCCGCAGCAUAUUGCUUCCAGGCAGGUUCUCCUCCCCUCUCCCCUUGCACAACAGCAGAACUCAGAUCAAUUCUUGUCUGCAAUCUUACAAAUCAAUUCUUCUGUACAGUAGAAGUCAGACUAAUUUCACAAUUUUCUGCACAGUAUCACUUGUGGGCAAUCUUACAAAUCAAUUCUUCUGUAAUCCAUAGAGUACUCCUGCAUUUGAAAAAAACCAAAUCGAUGUGUUCUCAUAGAAGAUUCUUUUCAUGAAAUUUGCUCAUGUAAGAAUGAGAAAGCUGAUGUGCACUUCUGUAGCGAUAGGGGCAUGCACUGAAUUGAUCUUAGCUUCAAACAGACUGAACUGAACUGAUAGGGGAGACAAGGAGAUGUUAUAGCGUACCUGGGAUUUGAGGAGGGGGCGAUGCCCAACCUACGACUCAUCUGUCUCCAUAGCAACGAUCUAGCUGAGUUGGAAAUUAAUCUGGUCGAUUCCCGUAACUAGGCAUCUAGCUAAGAUGGAAAUUAAUCUGGUCGGAGCAUGUGAUGUUUUCCUUUGUUCCAAUUUCUGCUUCUGAACAUAUUCAACAGUAUUUGCCAGUCCGGUUGCAGGAUGAAUGGUGGAUAAUCUGAUAAAAUCUUCAGGCCAUUAACACCACAUCUAGUGAAAUGCCAAGGAAAUUUGUCUUAGCUUCAAACAGACUGAACUGAAUUAGUCUUAACUUCAAACAAUGCAUCACAUGAUCAUUCCAGUGCCCACUUGAUUGUAAUGUUCCCACCCGAAUCAAGCGAAUCGUACGCGUCUGCAAAAUGCCAAGGAUUACUAGAUUCAGCAAAUUGACACAAAUUUUACAAAUGGCUCAGUUGAAUGAUCCUAGAGUACUCCUGCAUUUCUAUAUAAAUAAAAGGAGGAGUACCAUGAAGGAGCAUUUUGUCUCUACCGCAGCAUUACUAUGAAUCUGUACAACAACAUCUAAUGAUACUCCAUAUUUUUUUUCUCUAACGAAGUAUUACAAAGAGUUCAAAUUUAUUUGGUCAAUCUGGGCAAAUGUAUAUGAAUCUCUAUAGCUGAAUAAGCUAAUGCAUAUAAAUUCACACUAUUCUGCAUUACUACUCUUAUUCAGAAACUACUCCAUAUAAAUUCAGCAAAUGUAUAGAAACUAAAUUAUCAGUUAGCAGAAUUUACAAAGAGCUGAAUCUUUGCAGCAGCAUCUAAUGAUACCCCAUAUAAAUUUAUUACAGAGAGUUCAAACAUCUGCAUAUCUAAUGUUUUAGCUUAUAAACUUAACCAGUUCUGAACCAUAUAAACUGAAGAUUGUGUCAUUUGAUGGACUUGUUCAUGCAGAUAUAAGCAAGAGAAGCAGCAACACAAUCGUUUGAAGCCAUCCUUGAAAGAAAAGAAUAAAAAAGAAAGGAUCAAGUUCUGUUUGUCAAUGCUUGACGAGACCACCUUAGCAGCUCCAAGACCUAAAUUCAUCAGUAUGCACAACAUUGUGCAUAUUGACGAAAAGUGGUUCUAUAUGACAAAAAUGAACAGAUGCUACUACCUCCUCCCCGAGGAAGAUGACCCGGUCAGAACUGUCCGGAACAAAAACUGUAUUGGGAAAGUGAUGUUUCUGACCGCUGUUGCUCGACCUAGAUAUGACGCUGAAGGCAAUAUGACAUUCUCAGGUAAAAUUGGUGUCUGGCCCUUUGUGCAAGAGAUUCCUGCUGCUAGAAGAAGUGAGUAUAGAGCAAGAGGGACCAUUGAAAUCAAGUCCGUCAACAUGAACCGACGGGUAAUGAGGAGGUAUAUGAUAGAAAAAGUGGUUCCUGGAAUAAAGGAAGUCUGGCCCGCAGAUGAUACUAAUCCAAUAUUGAUCCAGCAAGAUAACGCAAGAACGCACAUUCUUCCAGGUGAUGCAGAGUUUGCAGAAGCUGUGGCUACAACUGGUCUGGACAUUAAAAUAAUAAACCAGCCUCCAAAUUCUCCUGAUCUAAACGCACUUGAUCUUGGAUAUUUCAGAUCCCUUGAGUCUUUGACCGACUGUAGAGCACCCACAACUAUCAAAGAACUGAUUCAAGGUGUGCAGGAAGAAUUUGAUGAGUAUGAUGCCGGAAAACUCAACAGAAUAUUUCUAACACUUGAGACCGUCAUGGUAGAAGUGAUGAACCAUGAAGGGGAAAAUGCAUACAAAAUUCCACAUUUGCGCAAGGAUAGAUUGGAAAGGCAAGGAAUCCUACCACCUAGGAUUCACUUUCCCCGUGAAGUUUAUGAACAUGCCAUGGAUAUUCUAGAACAAGAUGUCCAGUGAGCUUGGAUUGGAAAGGGAGAGAUACCGUACUCCAUGUUUGGCUUGUAGCGAAAGGCUUGUACUCCAUGUUUGUAGUGGAAAGGCAUUGACUAGUGUGGAAAGGAGAUGAGAGGAUAGGAGAGGAGAGGCAAGGAGAGGAGAUGCUUGUACUCGAUGUUUGUAAUGGAAAGUCUUGUACUCGAUGUCUGUAGUGGAAAGGAGAGGAGAGCAUAUGAUUUUCUGAAUUUUAGGAAUUUUAUAUGAAUUUUAGGAAGUUUCAGAAUUUAUCCCAGAAUUUUAUAUGAAAUUUCUGAAUUUGCGGAAAGGCUUUCUGUGAUUACAUUACCUGAAUUUUAUAUGAAGUUGUGAAAGGCUAUGUAUGAUUUCAGAAAAAAAUAUUAUAUGAAGUUUUUGAAGUUGUUGGAGAGGAGACAGAGGAGAAGAAAGGGCUUUGUAUGAUUACAUUUUCUGAAAUAUUCUGAAUUGUAUGCAAAUUUCUGAAUUUUAUGUUGUUUGUUGGAGAGGAGAGUUUCUAAAUUUCCUUCUGUUUGUUGGAGUAGGAGAGGAGAUAAUUACUCCUGGUCCUUUCUACAUCAAUUCAACAUGAACGAGGAGCUCCUAAUAUUGUGCUAAUAAUUCACCAACUAAUAGGACUCGGCUGAUAAUUCACCAAAUAAGCUUGUGCUAAUAAGAUGCUACUCUGCCGUCAGCCUUCUUUUAUUCCUACACCUCUUGGAAAAAAAUAACACAAACAUGCCUCUAGUGGAAGUAGAUAAAUAGGCUAAUGAAAGAGUACUCGUCCUAGUGGUAGAUUAAUUGGACAAAAUUAAAAGAUCAUGGUCAGGCUGCUCAUGGUCAUAAGCAGAGCAAUGUAAAGCAUGCACUGUUGAGAGUCUUGCCGCACUGGCAUUUCCUUAUAAACUAAACGCCCACAUUUCAUCAUUUGUACUCGAACAAAAGAUUCACAGAAGCAGUAGAUAAGACUGCAUUUGUUAUAGCAGUAGCAAAUGACAGGUGAUUGGUUGGAUACCUGCUCCACUACAUUUGCUAUAGCACAUGUGUUCUUGCAAAAAUCGCCGAUACAAACUGAGUAUGAAAAGAAGCAGCACAACAUCAUUGGCAUUCCUAUUUGGCAUUUUACUCCUAGAUACAGUAUGAUUAUUUCUGGGGUAAAAGCAGCAACCCAACCCCAGCUAUUCACUCUGAAAGAAUAGAAAGAAAAGGAAGGCCCCCAAGAAGGGGGCUGGACCCAAAUCCUCUGUCUCUGCUCUGAUUUUUACCUCUGUUUUUCUUCCCCGACGAGUUCAGUGAAUCUGCGUGUGCAUCCAUUGGAUCCCACCGUGCUAAGCUAGUUCGAGUGAGAUUAGAGAGGAGACCUUAACUUCUCUAGACAAUAGUACUCCUCGAAUCAUCCAUACAUCCAUACAGAGAAGCAAGAAGAGUACCUGCAGACACAGUCCAUCGUCGACGCAGCAGAGGAAGAUGGCGGGGCACAUGGAGGAGCUGCCGCAGCCUGAACAAGGACACACCGCUGCUCUGCUUCGACGGCGCCGUGGACGACCCCGGCGUCCGACUCGCUCCCCCGCCCCUGCUUCUGCCGCUGCAGGGGCUUCUUCACGCACUCCUUGCUCCAGCAAAUCUGCAGCUCAACAUGGGGUAGGCGCUCCUCCUUGCAGGUCGAGGGCGACGAGGAACGCCGGUGUUCGUCACCGGCGUCGUCAAGCAGAAGAAAUCCGUCACCGUCGUCGAGCAGGAGAAGGCUGUCCUCCCGCUCCUCCUCGACCUUGGUAAAAAGGGCAACUUUGCCUCGAGCGGGAGAAGGUGGCGCAGGAGACGCCGGCGAGAGGGAGAAGGCGGCGCAGGAGAAAGGGAGAAGGGGCGACACCGACGCGGGCGAGCUAGGGAGCGGCGCCGGCGUGAGGGAGAGCGGCGCCGGCGAGAGGGGGCUAGGGAUUUGGGGAGAGAGUGCGGUGAGAGGGAGGGGAAUCAGCAGAGUGAGUGAGCGCGGGGCAAAAUGGGAAACGACACAAUUUGCGUAGUGUGGCGAAAUUUGAACUGCACUUUCUAAACGCUCUUAUAAAUGUUUACAGAGGGAGUACCAGCCAUGACAUAGUUAAGUUUUAGUUCAAAUAUCAUGUAAAAUCUUUUCAGCUUAACUUAAAUAAAAACAUACUAAGGCUCCACCAUGUGACUUCCACGUAGAAGGUUCUCAUAUAGAUGGACCAAAAAACAAGAAACAUUUUCCUGUCAAAGGCUCCACCUUGUGACUUCCACUUAGAAGGUUCUCAUAUAGAUGGACCGACGAGACAAAAUUACGACAGGUUAGACCAAAAAACAGGAAACAUUUUCUUGUCAAAGGUAAUUCAAAAUUAAAGAGAGGAAAAUCACAGUCUCUCGUUUUGCCAAAAUUACUGUGUCGACCUGAUUGUUUUUUAGAGGCCCAAAUUUGCUUGAUUCUAAAUAGAUGACACGGUAAACUGACUAUAAAAAUCGGCAGUUCAUACCACAACCCAAUGACUAACAAUGAACAUCUCUCUAUAUGCAAUAUGAUUUCAGAGUCAAACAUACCAUUAUUUGCUAUUGGACCAACCAAAUGUGGUUUCAACUCCACAUGAGAAAAACAAUGUAGGAACUGAACAUACAUCCAAGUAUACAAAACCAAAAAUUCAAGCAAGAAUUAGACAAGGCAUCUAAGGCCAUCAUAGCAUUCACUCACCCUGGUAUGUAGCAUCGGUGGAGCGAAAUGUGUCAAUGCCACGAUAACAUCCACAUGUCCACCUUCAUGCCUCCAUGACUCCUCCUGCCGACCACGCGCCUCUACCAUGGCGUGUCCCCACAUUCCCAGCCACGCCUUCUCAAGUACUCCCAAGAAGAUAAUGGUAACAACAGACUGUGCCAACAUUAUAAACUUAAUAUUAGUAAUUAUUGGACAUACGUUUAACUUGCACAUGAACUAUGUAAAAUGCAAAAUUACUAAUGCCAGCUUAAUAAAAUGACUCCGCGGUGUCAUACAUGGAAAACCAAAGAUCAUGCUUAGUACUAUCUCAGGUAGCAACAAAUAAGCUAAAAGAAGGGAAACUUAAUAAAGGUGUUGAAUCACAUAUAAUUCAUGUUGCCCUUGAUAAUGGAUCAAUCUACUCUUCCUAAAUUAAACAAUAGUGAAAUUCCAGUAAGCCUAAAGGCAUGAUUUGCACAUAUAGGAUAUUUCGUCCUCCCAUUGACGAAGACGAUGAUGCAGUAGUCCAAUACAUAUGAAAGCAAGUGGUUUCGUCAUGAAGCAUAUCGUCAUGGUGCAGAUUUGGUUUUCUGAAAUAAGGCAUGAGCAAUUAACAAAAAGAUUCAUCGCAGAUGGCCAGAUCUAUGAAUGCAAACAUGUUAUAAUCACCUUCUUAAAACAUGCAAACCAGUAAUAUAGGUAACAAACGGUGAGUUCAGCAAGAUUUUGGACACGAAAUGUUAUUUACAUAUCAGGAAAAAGCUUUUGUUGUACAAAAUAGUGUCACAAAAAUAUAUCCCAAUAAGAAGCUUGCUUAUUUUCACAUGGCCUAUUUAUAUUUCUGGUAACUAAAACAACGUGGCAAUGAACAAGAAAAUAAGAGAAUAAAGCUAUAACCAGAUUGUUCAACAAACCUCUAUAGCUUGCAUAUAAACCAAUGAAAGGUAGUAAAAAAGAAGGCACUCAACAAGCACAAUUCAGAAUUAGAAGUGCACCUAACCGACGGGAUCAUGGUACUCAACAACGAUAUUUCUGUACAAACCAGAUUAGAACCACAUUUAACUGAAGAAAGUCAUGUUAAUGGAGCAAUAAAGCCUUACAAACAUGGAUAUGAACCGAUGGCACAAAAUCAAGCAUGAAACAAAUCAGCAGGAUAUUGCAGUACAAAAUGUAUUAAAACCACAUUUUUUAUGAUGAGCUCCAAAGGAAAACCCCACAAACUGGCUAGCAAUUAGAACAAAUCUAACCUUGCCUUGGUCGUGGACCAAAACAACCAAAACAUGGGGCAGUGGAGCAAUGGCGACACCAUCCAUCCAUGUAUCACUGAUGACACUUGAAAACUGAAACGACCCUAAUAAACAGAGUGUCCUGGUGGUAAGGAAGAGACAGGUUCAUUAUCAUAUUUUUCAGGUUUUAGAGCAUAUUCUAAGAUAAGAUCAUUAUUAAUUAAUGGUUAGUGCAUUUGCAAGUAAAAAUGUUGAAGCCAUGAGGUGUAUAACUACAUAGGACUUUUUUGGUAGCUCCAGAUUGGCAGGUAUUGCAUUUGAAAUACGCUAGGUGUAGUAGUUUAAGGCACCAUCAUCAAGAUAACAUCAUUCAUGUGUUCUCUGGUCUCUUUGCCAUCAAAUUAUAUGCAUGGGUUUUCUAGGACGUCUAUAUUUGCAUCUCAAAUGUUGAUGCUUUGCCUGAUCACAACAAUUGCAUUAACCUAGAUUAAUGAUAACCUUAUAUGUCAUGUAAGGAAGAAGAGUGAAGCGAUUUAUGCAUAAGAAUGCCUACCAUUUACAGAUUUGUACCGAAAACAAAAGCAUGAGUGAUAGUGAUAGGGACGCAUACAAAAGCUAUGACUCAAUCCUUGGCACGAGUUCCCGAUUUAAACCAAGUGUUAUUUGCAUAGCAAAGGACUUUAUUUUCAUAUAAAAUUAUUAUAGAUCAAUUUUUAAUGUGGCAGAACCAUAAUUUCAGAACAUAACACCAAUUAGAGUGCAUUCAGCCACCUUCAGCAUUGUAAAUCAAGAUAAACAAUGGAGGCCAAGGUAAACAAUAAGUAACGCCAAAAUACUGAUCAUCAACUUAGUGUUUUGUUAAUCAUUCUAUACCAAGCAUCAAUGAUGUUUACACUCUUAUCAUAACUGAUAAAAAAGAUGCAUCCUUGGACAUGCUUAUUAGUUUUACGCUCAAAUAGAACUUAUUAGGCCAAUAAACCAUACAAUGUGAUUUCUUAGGUACUUAGCAACCUCUCAUAGGUUAAUCAGAAGCUCUUUUAUUGAUUUAGAUGUAAUAACCAAGUCAUUGUGUACCUUUUGGCAAGUUCAUGCAUUAUUGCAUCAGCUUUGAGGUCCAUCAAUCAAAACAAAUCCCAAGCACAUGAAUUGAGCGAACACCUGACAGAACAAAGAAAUAGGUGAGUGUUAUCUAUACAAAAACUAAGACAAUGAAGUAGAAGGGAUAAUUAUUUACAACAGAAGAAAUGGUGGAGUAUAAUAUCUCUACUCGACUCCGAAUUAGCAAAAUAAGAAGACAUGGAAAGGCACUUGAAAAACAUCAUAGCGAAGUUCUUGAGACACUUGAAAAAACAUUCCGAUGAACAAAAUGGAGUCCUCAAAGUGAGAAUUAAUCUGUCCAAUCUACAUGCAAGAUUACAGUUUUUAUCUAAACAACUAAACCCAAAUCAAUAAUAUAAACCUAAAUUCAAAGACUUUGGAUGACAAAAAGGCGUGCAUAUCUGAAUGAAAAUGGGGUUCUUCGUAACUUCAAACCACUCUCGCAUGCUUUGGUUCGAUACUCAGCCACUGGCAGGCCCAAAGAUUCUAAAAGGACAUCUAGCACCAUUCUAUAGGGGAUUUUCACCAUUGGGGGAGUAGCCUGUGGUUUAAAAUGGAUGAUAUUAAUUUGCAGAGUAUGAAAAGAAUGUAAGGCAUAGCCUAAAACGGCAUAUUUAUUUGACACCCAAAACAUAGAGUAACUGGAAGCCUAUGGUUAAACCAUGCCUGCUAGGCUGCUACAGCAAAAAAAGAAAAGAUAACACACAUAGAUCACCAAUUAGAAGGGCUCCCUGCACACCAGUCAAUGGUCUGUAUAAGUAAUUGCACUAAUACAGUAGAUAUCAAACUAAUGGUGUGCAUUAGGUACAGAGGUAUCCUCUUGUGAUGUUGAGAAGGGAAUGGCAAUGGUUGAAUAUCUACUGAUGAAUGGCACCUCUUCCAAUCCAUGUCUUUCCAUGACGAUGAAAAGGGAAAGGGAAGGCUUACAUGGUACGGGGGCAUUUGCGCUACAGAAAUCUUACAUAGACGUGUGUAGAGAGAGAGAUGAAGAGCAGUUGGGAAGCUCACCUUGGCGCCUCCCCAAAAUCCGCCCGUGGUCGCCUGUCCCCGUUACCCACGCCAGGCACCAAAUCAAGCAAAGGAACAAAAGACACCUCUAUAAAGAGAAAAGGACCUCCAGGACAAAUAUAUCCCCUUCUCGAUGAGGAAAGAUCUAGGUACCAAACAAACCAAGAAAGCCAACAAAAAAACUUCUAGGAAUAUAGCUAGAUCCGAGAGCAUCUCCUGAGCAGUAAUAAACAAAAAUCCACUUUGCAAAAACUAAGCUGAGGUACCCAACAAACUUAAAAAGAGGACAAAAUUUCUAUAUGAAAGCCUAGCUAGAUCCGAGCAUCUGGUCAACUGAAGAAACAAAAAGAAUCCUCUUUGUAGGAACCUAGCUAGACAUGAACAUCUCCUUGACAAUAAGAGUGAAGAAGCUCACCCAAUAGAAGAACUGGAGCAUGGACCUGCCGUAAUCACCGGCAUCCUUGGGUUCGCCGCUAGGACGCUCAUUUUCGUCGGGGUCUCCUAUUCUCCCUUGAAAUCGGACGGUGGCUGAGCACCAUGGAAGGGUCCUUUUCAAAUUGCCACAGAAAAGCAGUAAAAAAUGGAGUCGGCUCAUAAAUACAUUUAUGGGCAGAAACAUAUAUACAUAGAUGGAACACAAGGACUGCAUAUAUCAAGUACAUGGAAACCCAUAUCACUGCCAAACAUGAAGAAAUAUUAAUAAACAUGGAGAGAAGUGAUGUACAAAGCUUCAACUUUGCCCCAUGGAGUAUCCAGCUACACAGGAACGGUAUUGGAAUUCAUAAAUUGUAUGAGAUGUACCAUACCACCAGUGAAAUGCUAGGUCACUUACAUUGCUUGGAUUUGGAUGUGCACAACAUCAUACUAUAGAGACUUUUCCGCACAAUAUACUUAUCAGCUAAGAAUCUUAGAAAAGGGAGAUCCAAUCCCAUAACCUGGCAAAUCAUCAAACAAAAUCAGGAAGGGAAAUAUACGAGAAAUCAAAGGAUAAAACAUUAGCUCCAGAGACAUUGACCAAACCUAGGAAAUGUGUGAUUGGCGAGGACGAAAAUACCUACAAACAUCACCAACACCAACACUGGCUACUGCAGUCGGCACCGCAACGUCUCUUGCCAACCAAACCAACAUGUGAAACAAGAAUGAAAUUAGAUCGAAAGGGGAGGGAUGCGCACCGUGGCAGGGGUGCGAGCGAGGAGGAAGGAGAGGUGCGGCGGCUCUGAUGACGAUGAUGAAGGAGGGAGGCAUGCUGAUGUGUACUGAUUCCCCAUGGAAACCCAAGCCCCAGCGGCGCGGCGACGGCUGGUUCGGGAGGCGAGGGAUCAAGCUCCGACCUAGCACCACCAGAUCCGACACCAUCACCUCCUAGUUCCUUGCCUCCCCAUGAAGUGUGCACCGCCUGGGGCCUAGCCCCGUCGCUGCUCCUUCCCCGUGGAAACCCGCGGCGGACGAGCCCCAGCGGCGCGACGGCGGCUGGUCCGGGAGGUGAGCACGCAAGCGCUGGAUGACGUGCGCGCGCGGACGGGAGGGAGGAGAGGAGAGAGAGGAGGGAGGAGGGGGUGGAGGAGAAACAUGGGUGGGGCAGCGACGGCUGGAGGGAUUGGGUGGGAUGGGGUGUAGGGGUUGGGGUAGAGGAAGACGCGCGGCACGUGAGGAUACGCUCGUUUGCACCCGGUAGGAGUUCAC